UCUUCUUUUCUCCCGCACUGUAUCAGUUUUUUUGGUUCAGAUCUGACGUUUUCUAGGGAGACGGUAAAUCCGGCGGCCAUAAGGCGGAGGGAGGCAGUGGGUUGCUCGGAGAAGAGACAAAUCAUAUGUUCAUCAAUAUACAAACAGUUGCAACUACAUGAUCCAUUACUUCCUUUAACUUAAAGCAAUUAACAGAAAGAGGGGUUUGAGGAGAGAAGAGGUCUGAAAUUUAAAAAAAA
This 239-nucleotide long non-coding RNA is filed under the name Medicago truncatula (barrel medic). RNAcentral describes it as "lncRNA gene664". The record is from RNAcentral. Lineage: Eukaryota; Viridiplantae; Streptophyta; Magnoliopsida; Fabales; Fabaceae.